Anser cygnoides (Swan goose) is the source of this 2528-nucleotide long non-coding RNA. The record is from Ensembl. Lineage: Eukaryota; Metazoa; Chordata; Aves; Anseriformes; Anatidae.
CUAAGAAAAAGCAGAAGAAGAUCAUAAUUUAAAGGAACCUCUGAGAAAAUUCAAAGCUUCAAAAGCUGCAUUGCCAUGGAAUUGCAGCAUGAGCCAGGUUAGGAAGAAAAAUGGUGAGAGAAAAUGGAAAGAAGAAUUGCAUUUUGGUCAAGGAAGAGCAAACUUGGGAAGAGCUUUUGAUCCUGAAGAGGAGAUGCUUGCUGAAUGGGAUACUUAUCUGAGAGAAAAGCCUGUUCCAUCAGGCCAGCACCCCUGGAGGCAGCCGAAGAUUACCAGCCUGGCUGAAACUUUGGAGUCAGGUUAUUGUCUUAUCUUCACAGUGCUGUCUGCUGGUUUUAUUCUUCCAAUAGUAAUUAAAAGCACACAAGUAUCUCUGAGUCACAAUUUUAAGUAGCUACCCCACCUACCUGUAACGUGAAUAAGAAAGAUUAGCUUUGUAUAGAAUUCUCAGCUUGAAUGGCAAUUCUACACUAAAAGCACUAGUAAUGCUAUUUAAUGGGGUAAAAGGGUCUGGAAGGAAUUCUCAGCGGUACAAAAGCUAAUGUGCCACUUAACUCUUGUUGAGGUUUCUCUUGUAAGUGCUGACCUAGGACAAGACAAAUACUGCUGCACAGUGCCCAUGAAAAUGGACCCAGUCAUAUUGUAGGCCAGACUGGCCUUAGUCACUCACCAGGGUGAUAUUUUCUGGGUUUAGUGAAAUAUAAAUAUUUUAAUAAUUAAAAGAAAAUGCUUUCAUGUAUUAAAUACUGUAAUAUAUAUAUAUAUAUAUUUUAAAAAAGUAUAGUCGCUGUUCAGGAAACAACUUUCAAGCAAUGUUCACCCUCCCAAAAAGGAGAAUUAUAUAUAUUAUAUGUAGAUUGCAAAACAACCUUCUAGGAAAUGUUUGACGUACAAAGUAAUAUUUGGCUGUGACCUUGGAAGACAUUUUUUUUUUCCCGUUCUUCUUCUCUAGUUUCUCCUUUGGCUUUCAGACUGGUUUUACAAAAACUCCAAUUUCCUAACCACCUCUUUCAGUGCCUCUCAGCACUUUGGAAACUGCUUUGCCUUACAUAAAGUACUAUAUCUAAAUAAGUACACGUUAUCACAGACAGCUGAGGGUGAUUGCAUAAACAAAUUACAACAUUUUUAACAUUCAUACAAGCUUAUGAUCAGAAUAGUCAGAGGUACACUUUGCAUGCACGGUUCAGCAUUUUCAUACUUCCAUGAUUUUAUUUCCAAGCCAAAUUGCUUUCAAAAAGCAAAGCACAUAUUCAUCACCAAGAAUUAACUACAUACCAAGCUUGCAGAUUCAACACAAAGCUGCUUUUGAGUUGCCACAGCAUUAAAAAUAGCAUCUGAAAAAUUACUUGUGAAAAGUGAUUUUCCAUACAUGAAUAAUUUAAACAGACAAAUGGAAUUUUAUUAAACUCUGUUUUCUUACCACCUCAUGUUGUAUUUUGAGAAGAUGUAUGAAAUUUAAAGACUUUUCAGAAUAUUAAAGUGUAGCAGCAAUAGCAGUGAGAAUUUUAAGAGUGGCUCUUACAUACCAGAAAUGCUUUUGAGAACAAUCUACAUUUUCUGCAUGAUGGCUGUAUUUCAAAUGCCAUUUUCCCAGCCUUGACAGAAUUCCCCCUUACACUGAUAAGUAAUUAUACAGUCGGAUUUAGCUUAUAUUGAGUACUUAUCUGAAGACUUCCUCAUGGUUUUAAGAGAUUUUAAAGUUACUUAUUUUGUAAGCGUCGUACUCAUUUGUAGUCCUCCAUAGGAUAUAGCAUAUUUUACAAAUUUGAACAAAUGUUAACUAGAAUGUUUCUGUGAAGUAGGGCAAGGCAAGUAAGAGGUGGGAUGAGGGGAGGAAGAAAUAGGUGGAAAACUUUAUGACAGCACUUUAAGGCCAGUCACGUUAGUGGCUAGAUUGGAAGGGAGAACACUUGAUAGGGAAGGGGAAACAUGCAGAAAUGAAAAACAGACACAACAACAGGACCUGUUUGAGAAUAGCUAACUAUACUGAGUGGGAAGUCUCGUAAAACUGGCCUCAAAAACUGCUUUGCUCUGACCUGAAAAUAGCUCUUCUGCCUUUAAGUGCACCACAUUUUUUUUUAUAUAACUAACUUCCACCUCAGUUUGUUCAGUGACAACUAAAGCACUUGUGACUUCAUGAAUGAGUCAGACAAAAGUAAGAUUGAACUUGUAGAAUACAAUUACUGUGAUAACCAUCAGUAAUGCGAAUAUACCAGACAGUUUAAGACCUCGUUUAUCAGAUUUUCCAAUUUGAUUAUUCUAAAGUUUUCUUAGGUAGAAAGGUAGAUUGCUGUUAUAGAGGGACGUUUACUUCAUGUAAUAUUAUUUAAUUGAACAGCUCUGCGAAGUUAGACAAUCUGUUUUUGUCACAUUAUGGCUACCCAUAUAAUGGCCUCGACCUGUGUGCACACCCGCCAAUGAGAGGCAAGGAAAAGAUUACCAGUAGCUUUGGAGCAGACAUGCAUAAUGACCCCAUCAUUCUUAAGAAGCACAGAAUCAUCAAAUAAAAAUAAAGCUGUAGUAUUGCA